Molecule: long non-coding RNA, 1484 nt
Filed under: Homo sapiens (human)
Lineage: Eukaryota; Metazoa; Chordata; Mammalia; Primates; Hominidae
Description: non-protein coding LINC02034:7
Source: RNAcentral
GUCCUGGUACAUUUCUAGAAAAAAUGGAGGGGAGCAGAGUCCCCCUGAGCACCUGGGGUUUGAUGCCUCCCUGCCCAGAGCCCUUGCUAUAGCAUAUGCUGGUGAGGGCCGAGGCUCUAGCUCACACUCCAGACCGGGGUAGGGAUCCAAUCUGGCUUUGAAGACAUCAUGCAGAGCCUCUGCUCUGGAGAUGGGAACCUGCAGACAAAUGCCUCCUUAUCUCAAUCCUCUGAAAACAGUUUGACCAGGGAGACAGCGUUCACUCAUGAAUUUAAGAAAAAAAAAAUCCCUGAUCCCUACUUUUUGCCAACUUCAAUGCUGAUUUCUAGUGGUACCAAGAAAAAUGCAACUGAGCCUCCAUCCUCAAGGGGCUCACAGUCUUGUGUGGAGAUAAAAAAUGCAGGCCUGCUGCAGAUCCAAGUCCUGUGACCGGGGUCCUGCCCAAGGGUCCUGCUUCCCUAGGCAUCCCAGAAGUUCAGCCUGCAUCUCGACCAGAGCCUGAGAGUAGACACCUGCCGGUUUAUCUGUCCCUUCAUGUAGCAGGUGACAGAGGUGCCAGGGGCAUGGCAGGGGUACUCUGACACAGCACUGCCCCACGGAGCCCAUGUCCCAGGGCAGAAGACCCACGAUGCACAGCCAGCCAGGUGGCCUCAUCCGAUCAGUCAAAGGCCUCAAUAGAACCAAGACUGACCUCUGCCAAAGAGAGAAUUCUUUCAGCAGACGGCCUUCGGACUUGAGCUAUGACGGCAACUCUUCCCCGGGCCCACCUGACGGACUGGGUUUCUCAGCCUCCACAGUCGUGUGAGCCAAUUCCGUAAGAUAAAUCUCUCUCUCUUCUCUCUCAAUCUCUCUCUCAAUCUCUCUCUCUCUCCAGGAAAGAACUCCAGGGUAGCUGGGAGCUUGGUAUGUUCCAGGACAGCAGGGAGGCCAGAGCCGCUGUCAGUGUGAGAGGGUCGGAGUACAGUGGGGCCCUCCCUGCAUGUGGGGCCUCAUAAGGUGGCAUAGAUGCACGCUUGUUCUGUGUGGACAGGGUUUGGGUGGGGGUGAUGCUUCCUCUGUUCCCUGGGUAGAGACUUGAUGUCUGGUGGCCUGGGGAAGGCAAGGAGGCCAUGUGGAGGCUGCUGCUGUGGUCCGGGUGAGAGGUGACGCCACUGUAGGGCAGCUGGUGGCAUGCAUAAUUCAAAAUAGGCAUAUUGACCAGAUGCAGUGGCUCAUGCCUGUGAUCCCAGCACUUUGGGAGGCCAAGGCAGGAGGAUUGCUUGAGCCCAGGAGUUUGAGACCAGUCUGGGCAACAUGGGGAGACCCUGUCUCUACAAAACAUUAAAAAAAAAUUAGCCAGAAUAGUGGUGUGCACCUGUGGUCCCAGCUACUUGGGAGGCUGAGGUGGGAGGAUCACUUAGGCCCAGGAGUUGGAGGCUGCAGAGUCGUGCUCACACCACUGCAUUCCAGCCUGGGCGACAGAGUGAGACCCCACCUCAAAAAAC